AGAUCAAAGAGUAAUUUUUUUGUUAAAAAUUGACGUGGUUGAUAGAAUAACCGGACAAUGACACGUGAUGUGCCAUAUAUAUCUCAUGCUGACGUACAUAGUCCAAUUUUUAAUAAUAAUAAUAGAUAAAAUUUUUAACA
Gossypium raimondii (Peruvian cotton) is the source of this 140-nucleotide non-coding RNA. NCBI's taxonomy places the organism in Eukaryota, Viridiplantae, Streptophyta, Magnoliopsida, Malvales, Malvaceae. The record is from Rfam.